CGAAACCCUAGCACAGCUCCAUAAAUUAGGGUUUCAUAUAUUUUACGUCCUUCGUUUCACUCAUUUUGCCCCGAAAAUAAACCAGCAACGCCGCUGUCUACUACCCGCCACUCCACCGCCAUGGUCUCUCUCUCUCUUCUUUUCCUUUCUGUAAUUUCAUGUGUAUCAACGUAUUAAUGUAUGUAUAUGCCUAUAAAUUCCCCUCACUUAUUUACGUUUGUGAAAGUAGGCGUCAGAGAAGAAGCUGUCGAAUCCGAUGAGAGAGAUCAAGGUACAGAAACUUGUUCUCAACAUUUCUGUCGGCGAGAGCGGAGAUCGUCUCACCAGAGCUGCUAAGGUACAGUUCACUCCUACGUAUGCCUGUGCACUCGCACCCGCCAUUUUUAAUCAUUACUGCUUGUUUAUUUUUGUAAUUUGGUGUCUAAUUAUCUAUUCUUUGUAAUCCUUUUGCAGGUACUCGAACAGCUCAGUAGCCAAUCCCCUGUUUUCUCCAAGGGUAUUUUUCUCAGUUUAUGGUUGCUGAUUUUAGUUUUAUUUUUAUGCUCAUUUAAAUUGGCUUCCCGAAAAGAAAGAGUUUUGCUAUUAAAGUUGCUUCACUGGCAUGACUUGUUUUCAACUUGUAGCUCCACAGAUUAUUUUAUUUCUGUCCGUAGGAUAUAUGUCAUUCGUUAGUUUAACCACCUUUUUUUAAAAAGGAUUUUAGGAAUUCAGGUUCCACUUCCAGUAUUGUUGGAAGAAAGAGUGCGGUGUAUAGAACAUACUUAAUCAGAUUAGAUUUUAAGAAAUAUUCUGCAUUAGAUUCAUUUAAUUUUCAACAAAGUUUCUUAUAUUCAUUUCUUGAAGUCGUGAAAAUUGGGUUCUUGACUCAGUUGAGCAAUGUUUAGUAUGUGAUGAAACAAGAAUCAAUAUGUUUAGAUCAUGUUUAUAAACUUUGUGCAAACAAUCAAAGCCACUUUUUAUCCCCACAUUUUAAAGGAUCCACAACUGCCACUCACUGAUCUGCCCCUCAUUUCAAUCUUUUUGUAAUUUAAAUUGUUUAUAAACACUUUCCCAACAGGCUUUUAGUUUCAGAAUGAGUUCAAAAUACCCCUCAACUGGUUUGGAAUCCUACUUUCUGAAAAGUCGAAUUAUUUCAUUGUAUGUAUCAUGUUGGGUAUGUUUGGGGUAUCAAAGUUCAUGCUGACAGUUUGUGUGUCUUCUUUUUGAACCUUUACCCCUCAGGACCCUCCCAUUUGGUUAAAAUUUCAAAAAACAUCGAUAUAUUUUCUUAAAAUGGUCUUUUGUUUUGGUUGGCAGCAAGAUACACUGUGAGGUCCUUUGGGAUCAGACGUAAUGAAAAGAUCGCGUGCUAUGUCACAGUCAGGGGUGAUAAGGCAAUGCAGCUCCUCGAGAGUGGGUUGAAGGUCAAGGAAUAUGAACUGUUGAGAAGAAACUUUAGUGACACUGGCUGUUUUGGCUUUGGUAUCCAGGAGCACAUUGAUCUUGGAAUCAAGUAAGUAAAUAUAUUACAUUUGCUUCUUGUGCUCUUCAGGAAUAUUUUAUUUCCUUUAUUUUGAACAAUAUAGAAAAAUAUGCUAGCACUAGAACUUAACUUGAGCAAAUUGUAUCUAACUAUUUUCAUUCAAGUUAGAAGAUGUUACUGUUGCAACAUGACUAGGGUGUAUUCAUGCAAAUUUAUCUGGGUGUAUUGGUUGGUUUGUAGAUAUGGAUGGAUGAUAUGCUUGAUAAUAUUUGGUAGUUACUCCCAAAACAACUGUUAUUGUGUUGAAAUGAUUGUGUCAUUCUGUACUAUGGAUUUUCAUUAGAUUUCAUAUUAGUUGCCAAUUUUCAGCGACAAACUUUUUCCUUCUGCUGUUAUUAUGUUGAAAUGUUCGAUCCUGCUUUUGGUUAUGGUCUGUUUGUAUAGUCAUUAUGAUAUGCUUGAUAAUAUUUGGUAAUUACUCGCAAAACAACUGUUAUUACAUUGAAAUGAUUGUGUCAUUCUGUACUCGCAAAAUACCUGUUAUUUCUUUAGGUUCUUCAUUUAUUAUUGUUAUCAUCAUUCUGUACUAUAGAUUUUCUUGAACAACGUGACCAUACCGGCAGUGAUAUCCUCUCCUUUUCAUUUGUUUAUUUUUUAAUGUUUCCAGGUAUGACCCUUCUACUGGUAUCUAUGGUAUGGAUUUCUAUGUUGUCUUGGAGCGCCCCGGUUAUCGUGUGGGCCGUCGUCGUAGAUGCAAGUCGCGUGUUGGAAUCCAGCACCGGGUCACAAAGGAGGAUGCAAUGAAGUGGUUCCAGGUGAAAUAUGAAGGUGUUAUUCUCAACAAGUCCUCCAAUACUUAGUUUGAGAGCACAGGAGGACUAUCCUGUCGAAGUUUUAUAUUUUGCAUUUUAUAGACCUGAAUUUUACUUCCUGAGCCUGAAGUUUUGGAGAACUGGUUUUACGUGUUUUGCAGACGAGUUCAUUUUCGCUGAGGUUUAAUUUAGUUGUAUUUUUAUCAGUUCAUAUGGCAACUUCUAAAUGUGAUCAUUCCGGUCUGUUACUGCACGAGUUACUCAACAGCUUUUUGGCCCCAAAAUCGUUGCCUGAUAUUUAUAAAUCAUAGAAUUUAGAAUGAAGCCCCCUGUCCCGGCGCCCCUCCAAUACGGGGUGCUAUGAUCCUGACCCUGUCCCCAAGCCGGGACAGGGAGCAGGGUUGUAGAUUUUAGCUGGCUGCUCUGCUUUUGACAGCUUCUGUUAGUGACACUCUUCAUGCUGCUGUAGUCUGCAACUAUUUGUGCUUUUCUACACUAUAAUUAUCGCCAUUGUCGGCUACGUUUAUGGAAUGAAAUGGCCACUGUCUUCACUGAGGGUUAAAAUAAAAACUGUAUAGUUUACCAAAACGGAAG
Molecule: long non-coding RNA, 2868 nt
Filed under: Olea europaea subsp. europaea
Lineage: Eukaryota; Viridiplantae; Streptophyta; Magnoliopsida; Lamiales; Oleaceae
Source: RNAcentral